CUGGAGUGUCUCCUGGGAAAGGGAGGAACCCUGACACUUCAUUUCCUCUCUGCCUAGCUCGACGCUGGGGUUAUAAGGUGCACACUGAAGAAUGAAAAGCACACAAAGCCGAGGAUCCAGGGUGCGGUUUCCACUUCCACAACCCAGACGUUUUGCAAGGUCGUUUUCAAACCAAGCUUCCAUGGACAGCAGCGGGGAUGGCCUGAAUUCCGCAGCCACGCUGGCUCCAAGGACGUUGGAAAGGAGGCGUUGAACAGUUGACCCUCCAUGCCUUUAAUCUUCCCCGCCGGCUGGGAAAAGGAAGGGCGAGGCCAGAAAUGUGGGGCUGAAGGAAAUACGGCGCCCGGGCCCCACAGGGAGAAGUGCACAGCGGGACCGAGAACCUGUCUGACCCCCUCAGGCCGCCGUAGCCGCUGACAAACAAAGACCGGAAGUAGGGUCGGCGGCCGCAGCUGAGGCGUCUCUUCUAGGACCUCGGAGGUUCUGCAUCUCGAUGGUUCCCUAGGUUCAAGGACUCCAACUCCCCAGGUGUGUGUGUCCCACCCCAGGAGCAGAAAAAUGGAUCAAAAGAAAAUGGAAUUAAACAGCUCACGUGUGUAUAAAGAACGCCACUUAAAAUGUAUCUAGGUCUAAGUUUCAGCUAACUGGUUGGAGCACGUGUGAUUAUCAUGCUGCUCCUGGCAGAAGAAAAGGAAACAGGCUUGGAGCAAUUUCUCCCUUGCCUAGGGUCUCUCAGUGACACAGCUGGGCCAGAAACUAGGACUUGUGCCACCAUGGCCUGUACCUUUCCAUUGCCCUGGCUGUCUGUCAUCAGAAAUGAACACUAAUAAAAUCUAAGCUAAUGUUUUCAAAAUGUUCAAAGCUGACAAAAUGGAUUGUGAAAGAAUUCAGAGACCAUGAACACAGGUCCUGUAGGGUGGUUAGUAUAACAAAGCAAACGAAGCAACAAAAAUGACAGGUGUUGGUGAGUAUAUGGACUAUUUGGAACCCUUGUAUAUUGCUAUGAAACCCCUGUGUAAAUCAGUAUGGUGCUUCAAAAAAAAAAAAAGUUGAAAAUAGAGUUACCUCGUGAUUCUCCAGUUCCACUUCCGGGCAUCAAAGAAUUGAAAAUGAGGACUUGAACAGAUAUUUAUAUACCCUUAUUUAUAGCAGCACUCUUCACAGUAGUCAAAGAUGGAAGCAAACCAAGUGUUCACCAACUGAGAAUGGAUGAACAAAAUGUCUAUAUAUUUAGCCUUAAAAGGAAGGUCACCUGCCCAGAGCUGCAACAUGGAUGAACUUGGAGGACAUUAUGCUGACUGAAACAAGCCAUUUGUAAAAAGAGAGUUUGUAUGAUUUCACUUACAUGUGUACCUAGAAUAGACAAAUUCUCUGGACAAAGUAAAAUGGUGGUACCAGAGGCUGGGGAAAGUAAGGAGUGGAGAGUUAAUGUCAUAAUCAGGGCAAUGGCUCUUUCUAGGAGGGAAUAUAAUUGCUAGGGGAAGAAGGAUUAGAUAUGACUCCCUGACUUGGUGAACACAGCCUUCAUUAUGGAAAAGCAGUGGUGAACACUUAGGUAACGCUCACAAUGUACAGCUAUGGAGAAGCAGCAAUAAUUCUAAGGUCCAGGAUUUGGUUUUACUCUAAAAGUCAUCUUUAGUUUAAAAUUUUAAUCCUGCUCUUUCCAACAGGGUGUUAGCCAGUGGAUGGCACCUGAAGUAUGCAAUUCAAGUGGAGAUGUGUCUUAAUGUAAAUCAUACCCUGUAUUUUGAAGACUUAGUGCUAAAAAAGUAUAAUAUAUCAUUAAUAAUUUAAAAAUAUUGAUUAUGUUUGCAGAGCAAGGCAAUUUGUGGACCAAAGCAGCUGUGGGUGUCCUUGAGUCACAAAUUAUAGUAGCAGACAUGAGUUUAUUAGAAGAGAUAGGAAAGGGGAAAAUGGAAAAAGAGAACACUCUCAAGGGAGAAAGUGGGUCCUCUCAGUGAAGAGAGGGAUGACACAUUCCUUAUGCCCUCCUGUUUUGUUGGGAGUCCCAGUGAAUUUUCCAGAGCUCUGCCCAGGUCCACCUCUUGAUUUUUGACUGCUAGCAGGAUUGCAUCAAACUUCCAACUCCCUAUGGGGGAAGAUUUUGCCUCUGUAAUGACAUGCUAAAGAUCUAAGGCAACUCUGAGUCAGCUUGUCCCAAUUUGACCAGUUCUAAUUGGAACUUGUUCUUACAGAUUUUAUAGUUGAGGGGUUUUGCUUCUGAUUAUCCUGUCUCCUUGAGUCCUGGAAUCUAGUCUGUGUAAAGGUCACAAAAGUUCCCUCUCUUCAGGGUAAUGCGUGUUCUUUUAGUGUGUAGGGCAGAGUCUUUUGGGGCUUGCAUUCCUGCAGAUAACAGGUUGUUUGCUGAGGAAUGUAGCAUAUCCUACUGACUUAAGUCAGGCAGAACCAGAGUGGCUUCAGGCAAAUUGCUCUUGAAGUUAAAUAAAACAUGAAAGUUAAUUUCAAAAAAAAAAAAAAAAAAAAAGAAAGUUAAUUUCACUUGUUUCUUCUCUUUAAAAUAUGGCUACUAGAAAAUAAAAAAAGCCAUGUAUUUGCAUUCUAUUUCUUUGAGAUCACAUCAUCUUAGUUGUUUUGGUUCUUAUCAUGGGCUAAUCAGACUGACAAUCAGCAUCACAAGGAACCCUGCACACUUAUUGAUGCCAGACAGUAUAUGUGCAGUAUCAUUUUUGACUUAUAAAACAUCCUUAGGGCUGGGGUUGUGGCUCAAUGGUAGUGUGUUUGCCUAGCAUGCAUGACACACUGGGUUUGAUUCUCAGCACCACAUACAAAUAAAUUUUAAAAAAGGGUCUAUCAACAACUACGAAAUAUUAAAAAAAUCCUUAGAAGGUAAAUAGUAAUAUGACUACCCAGUUUUACAGGUGAGGAAACUGAGGCACAUGAGCUUGAUAAAUAACUUGCCUGUGUUCACACAGGGACAGGAAAAGCCAGGUGCAGCUCUGGAGUUGACUAAUUCUAGACUAGUUUGUGCUUUUAGUCACUACAUCAAAACCUUCAGACAGGUUUUCAGGAACCAAAGCCAUAGAGCCUUGUUUGGAAACUAGAACACCAGUUUCAUUACUUUUGCAGUUCUGGGGCUUAAACCCAGGGGCUUGUGUCUGUUAGACAAUGGAUCUACCACUGAGCUAAAACCCCAGUCCCCGGUUUUAUUAGAUAUUCCCUAGAGAAUGUUUCCUAGCAAAUGAAGGUCCUUUGUUAAAUUGGGAGUUCUAGUCAGAAAACUAAAUUCAAGCUGGAAAUUUUGCUUAGUUAGAAAUGGACUUUUGAGACUGAGGAAAUAGCUGACUUAAAGGUUUAUUUUAUACCAGCGUACUUUAGAAGUUGAUCCCUCAUGUUCUCACAUGUUGGGGCUUUGUAAAGCUGGGUUAGUUUGUAAAAGUAUUUGGGUCUUGUAGCCAACUCUGGAUUAAUCCAUGUGCUGCUGUCAUAUAGAUUUGGCUGUUAACAUUUUUCCUCAUCCCAAUAAGGGCACUGUAUUACUUUGAGUCCUAUGAGAAGGAGAGAGCAGUGCAAGAGACAUAUUGGGGGAAAUAUCUGUGAAGGGAGCCAGGGUAAAUGUAGUAGGAGCCAGAGGCUGACUUGCAGCUCUUCUGGGUGCAGAAGAGAGCAAGAGCCUGAGGAUUCAGUUAGGGGCAGUCAAUGUGGGACCCAGGCCAAGACUGCCCAUGCAGGGUCCUGUAGAAAGGAAGGGGCCCUGGUCCCCACCAUGCUGUCAUGCUGGGGGCAACUGAGACAGGGAGGUAUGGGUCCCCCAGAUGCUGCAGGGGAGGCUAUCUCUCACCAGGUCCUCACCACAGACCCAUAUUUUUGAGGAGAAGUCUGGGAAGCCCACUCCCAUUAUGUUUAAGUCAGCUGUUUUCGCUGCUGCAACCAAAAGACCUGUCAAAAACAGUUGGAGGAGAAUUGGUAACUUCUCUUAUCUUAGAAAUAUAAACAUCUCUGUGAAGCCCCAGUCAAGGUCAGAGGCCUUGUUUACACAUUUCUACAAACUACUAUACUGGAUACAUGUUUGUGAAAAACUAGUAAGUGGGUGUCCAGCAUCUGGAGUGCUGAUUUCUUCUUGGUCUGUGGCCAAGUAAGAUAGGGCAACACGAAAAUUGGAAGUUUAUCUACAUUGAACUCUUUUGUAGAGACUCUUUUGCCGACAGUCCUAAAAUCAGCCAUGGUGAAGAUUUCUGGAGAAGCCCAGUUAAGACUUAUGUGUGGAGAAAGGGAGGUGCCACUACCGGAGAAGUUACCAACUGGGCUCCAUGGUAACAGGUGGAAAGGGGAGGAAAGAAAGGGGAGAAGGAGCUCUCUCCUUCUCAGGUGCUGUCCUUGAAGAGUUAACUUGCCCAGAACAGUGAAAGAAAAACUGCUUUUAUGUGAACUUCUGCAGACUGUGAACUUCAGAGCCCCUCCCCUUACAUGCUGGGUAUAAAGUCCUGAAACUACCUAAACUCGAGGUUCAGGGGAUUAAUUGAUUAUAGCAAAAGCUGUACCCUAUUAAUCUGGCUGCAGCCAAAUAAAACUGUUUCCUGCUA
Molecule: long non-coding RNA, 4541 nt
Filed under: Marmota monax (woodchuck)
Lineage: Eukaryota; Metazoa; Chordata; Mammalia; Rodentia; Sciuridae
Source: RNAcentral